This is a long non-coding RNA of Perca fluviatilis (European perch), 1849 nucleotides long. RefSeq lists it as uncharacterized. Lineage: Eukaryota; Metazoa; Chordata; Actinopteri; Perciformes; Percidae. The transcript has 3 exons. The record is from RefSeq and is a predicted model, not a curated record.
UCAGACCGCACGCGUUCCACUUACUCCAACAGUUAUCAUUCUGCACCGAUCCUCAGACUGUACGGUGCGCCGAGAACGGAGAACAGUGGGAGAGAAAUACGACAGCAGAUCUACGACCUCUCAGCUCUCAUGGCUAUAUUUAUGCUCCUGUUGUUCCUUCUGUCUGCAGCAGCUUCUGACCAAGAAGCAGUAACAGUGUACCCUGGAGAUGAUGUCAUUCUGCCAUGUCGGGCUGCUUAUUACACCAUCGGCGUUGUAGAGUGGAGCAGACCUGACCUGGAGGAGGAAUACAUCCUCUUAUACAGAGAUGGACACUUGGAUCCAACCCACCAGCAUCCAGACUUUAAGGACAGGGUGGACCUGGUGGACAGAGAUCUGAAGGAUGGAGACGUGUCUUUAAUUCUGAAGAAUGUGAGAGGCAUGGACACUGGAAUAUAUGAGUGUUGAGUUAUGCCAGCUGUCUUAAGACAUAAAAACAGACUCGCCCUUGUGUCUGAGCCAAUCGGAACCAUCCGUCUGCAGGUUACAGGUUUCGAGGAUGGACACUCAAUGAAUGCUGUCCCUGAGGAUAGAAACUCCUCUCCUGUAGGCCGAUACCGUGGACUGGCAGCAGGUGUUCCAGUUGGACUGAUUCUUGUAGCUGCUGCAGUGGUUGGUGUCCUGAUAUUUUAAAAGACAUAAUGACAAGGGCUCAGGACUGUGUCACUCACAGAGCUCUUUACACCUGGCAGUUGUCUCACGUGGCAUAUAUUCAAGACUUCUCUUACUCUGGGUGUGGGGUCAUGUUUACAUCUGCUCCUAGUUUUUUCUCAUCCAAUUCCUCCCCUCCAUGAAUCUCACAUACUUUUUUUCAAGUAAGGUUCUGUUACUUUAAAUACAUUUUACUUGAGUAAAAGUUCUGCAAUAAUGUCUCCCCUCUGAAUCUCUACCUUACCAUGGUGGGGGGGAGGGUUGUGUAUCUGAGUCUGGGAUCUGUAUUAUCUGGAGCUCUGAGAUCCUCUAGGGUAUCCAUGAUAAGAUGUCCCCAGAGGAGGGUCAGAGAGAGAGAGAUUCACUUCAAAUUAACUUUACCUUUAGAGAACUAGAAUAUUUACUUGAGUAAAAGUUUCUUCAAAGAAAAACAAAUGUUACUUAACUGAAAGUACUUUUACCUUAUAUACAUUUUCCUUAUAUACACAUAAACAGAAAUAUUUUGCUCCAUUAAACAGAUUAAAUGUAACAAUAAUGUACUCAGUGCUGAUAUAGCACUGACCUUGUCACGGCAAACAGAAAAUGUUUCUUCAGGUUAAAAUAUCAGCAGACCGAGCACCCACCAAAUAUCUUAUAAUCAGGUGUAGAGGUCUUUAACAUGUUAUCUGUGUGUUUGAUCGAGUUAACUAUACAUUUCAUAUGGUGUUUAUUUUGUAUGUUUUUUUUCUACUCAGCCAUUUAGAGGGAUUAUGGUCUCUGCUCAAAAUAUAUUUCCAGCUUAUGUUAUAAAAUCAAAUAACCUUGAAUUGUUUAAACUCAGCAGUUGAAUACAGUGAAUAUUGUUUGUAAUUGUAAUUAUAAAAGCAUCUGAUGCAGCUCAGAAUAUCUCAGGGGAACCUGGAGGACGAAUCCAUCAGAAAAUAAGACGCUAAACUGCAUUUCUAUCUACAAGGAAGUGUUAUAAGAAAAUGUUAAUAAUACAAAUGAUUUGAGACUCAACUAGUUCAAUUAAAUAAGGUUGUUAUUUAAUACAUGAACAGACACUUCAUGAAACCUUUAAUUACUAACUUACAGUAUUUCAGUCAUGUACAGAAAAUAUAUACUGCAAAUAUAAAACAAGUGUCCUUUUUAUAAAGAGAAAAUAAAUACUUUUUUGUUA